CACGUAGGCACCAAGCGUUGUCCGGAUUUAUUGGGCGUAAAGAGCUCGUAGGCGGUUCGGUAAGUCGGGUGUGAAAACUUUGGGCUUAACCCAAAGACUGCACUCGAUACUGCUGUGACUUGAGUCCGGUAGGGGAGUGGGGAAUUCCUGGUGUAGCGGUGGAAUGCGCAGAUAUCAGGAGGAACACCGGUGGCGAAGGCGCCACUCUGGGCCGGUACUGACGCUGAGGAGCGAAAGCGUGGGGAGCGAACAGG
This 254-nucleotide ribosomal RNA is filed under the name uncultured bacterium. RNAcentral describes it as "partial 16S ribosomal RNA". It matches the Rfam family "Bacterial small subunit ribosomal RNA", at positions 524 to 776 of the family's 1533-position model. The record is from RNAcentral.